ACCUACGGGGCGCAGCAGUGGGGAAUCUUGCGCAAUGGCCGAAAGGCUGACGCAGCGACGCCGCGUGUGGGAUGAAGCAUUUCGGUGUGUAAACCACUGUUGCCCGGGACGAACAGCUUCUUUCGAGGAGCCUGACGGUACCGGGUGAGGAAGCACCGGCUAACUCCGUGCCAGCAGCCGCGGUAAUACGGAGGGUGCGAGCGUUGUCCGGAAUCACUGGGCGUAAAGGGCGCGUAGGCGGCCCGGCAAGUCAACGGUGAAAGCUUGGGGCUCAACCCCGAGUCGGCCGUCGAUACUUCCGGGCUCGAGCACUGUAGAGGCAGGUGGAAUUCCGGGUGUAGCGGUGGAAUGCGUAGAGAUCCGGAAGAACACCGGUGGCGAAGGCGGCCUGCUGGGCAGUAGCUGACGCUGAGGCGCGACAGCGUGGGGAGCAAACAGGAUUAGAUACCCCGGUAGA
Molecule: ribosomal RNA, 457 nt
Filed under: uncultured bacterium
Lineage: Bacteria
Description: bacterial SSU rRNA
Rfam family: Bacterial small subunit ribosomal RNA
Source: RNAcentral